GACAGAGGGGGCAAGCGUUGCUCGGAAUCACUGGGCGUAAAGGGCGCGUAGGCGGGAUGGCAAGUCGGUCGUGAAAUCCUUCGGCUCAACCGAAGAACGUCGGCCGAUACUGCCGUUCUUGAGGGAUGCAGAGGAGACUGGAAUUCCCGGUGUAGCGGUGAAAUGUGUAGAGAUCGGGAGGAACACCGGUGGCGAAGGCGGGUCUCUGGGCAUCUCCUGACGCUGAGGCGCGAAAGCGUGGGGAGCAAACAGG
RNAcentral lists this ribosomal RNA (253 nucleotides) under uncultured bacterium. RNAcentral describes it as "partial 16S ribosomal RNA". It matches the Rfam family "Bacterial small subunit ribosomal RNA", at positions 524 to 776 of the family's 1533-position model. The record is from RNAcentral.